CAACUACUCCCUCUGUCCCAAAUUUCUUGUCUUAGAUUUUUCUAGAUACGGAUGUAUGUAUGACUUGAUACAUCCGUAUCUAGACAAAUCUAAGACAAUAAUUUUGGGACGGAGGGAGUACUUU
Non-coding RNA from Triticum aestivum (bread wheat), 124 nucleotides. The record is from Rfam. Lineage: Eukaryota; Viridiplantae; Streptophyta; Magnoliopsida; Poales; Poaceae.